RNAcentral lists this ribosomal RNA (426 nucleotides) under Lyttonyx bicolor. RNAcentral describes it as "partial large subunit ribosomal RNA". It matches the Rfam family "Archaeal large subunit ribosomal RNA", at positions 2011 to 2642 of the family's 2987-position model. Lineage: Eukaryota; Metazoa; Arthropoda; Insecta; Coleoptera; Meloidae. The record is from RNAcentral.
CAGUAUUUUGACUGUGCGAAGGUAGCAUAAUCAUUAGUUUUUUAAUUGAAAGCUGGAAUGAAUGGUCGGAUGAGAAGAAAGCUGUCUCACUUCAAUUUAAAUUGAAUUUUAUUUCUAGGUUAAAAAGCCUAGAUUUUAUAGAAAGACGAGAAGACCCUAUAGAGUUUAAUAUGUUUAAUUUGUAGUUGUUUUAGGUUUAUAUUUCAAUUAUUUUUUAAUUUAUUUUGUUGGGGUGACAUAGGAAUUGAAUUAACUUCCUUAGUUUUUACAUUGAUUAAUGGUUAAUUGAUCCUGAUUUUUGGAUUAUAAGAAUUAAUUACCUUAGGGAUAACAGCGUAAUCUUUUUAGAGAGUUCUUAUCGAUAAAAGGGAUUGCGACCUCGAUGUUGGAUUAAAGUUAAAUUUUGGCGCAAAAGCUUUAAGUUUA